UGUCACGCCCCGAGCCCCGCCUAUUUGGCCGAGUUCGAGCGCGUCGACAGACCGCCGAACGGACAGAGUUUCCCCUGUACGUCCUAGGCGUCGCAAUCAAUACAAUGAACAUUACAAGGGUUCCAACCAAGAACAGAUAUCAAUCAUGAUUGCAUAAGGAAAGUAUCACAACAUAACACAUCCUAUGUUAUUACAUGCAUUCACAAUAAUACAUUUACUUUACAUCCAACUCCCAAAUGCAAUUAAGUUAUUACAUCAUUUGCUUAUUACAAAUUGAUACAUUGUAUUCUUUUCAUUUCCCAAACCCCUAGGCUAUGUCGACGGGUUAUUGCUAUCUCUGGUCUCUGGGUAGGGCGCUAUCUAUGGAGCUACGCCCUUUCCUCGCGCCGCCGCGCCGCUCACGUGGGAACCUGAAACACCCCAAAACAACAUGGGGUGAGAACCAACUCCAUGGUUCCCAGUGGGUACGGCCACCCAAGGGAGGAGCUCGACCAAUAGGUCCAAGGAGGCAACUGCAGGUUAGUUUAAUAAACAGAUAGAUAGAUAUUUGACUAUGCAAUUAAUAAAACCAUACCUUGCCUCGCAAAUGCAAUAUGAACAUUAUGCAACUAUGCAACUGCAUGAACAACUAGUAGAUAUGUUAAUUCUACAUUUACUUUGCUACUUUAGGUCAUUUCAUUCAAUUGUAAGGUUUCCAUUACCUUAUGUUCUCAACUCAAGUUCAACUUGCUUCUAAGGUCUCUAUUACCUCAGGUUCUUGCCUCGAUCACUAGCUUAUAAGGUUUCCAUUAACCUAAUCAAGCUAACCACCCGACUCGGCCUCAAGUCAAUCAUCCGCGGAUAGUCCGCGCACUGGCUGCACCUCAGCCUGGCUGCCGUCGCAGCCUACCGCAGAUCUGACUUAACCAUCUGGCGGCGAACUCAUCGCUCUCACCCAACAACAACUCAAGUCAUGACUUAGGCAUCUGGCGGCGAACUCAUCGCACCUCACCCAACAAUGGUUCAAGUCAUAACUUAGUCUUCUGGCAGCGACCACAUCGCUCUCACCCAACAAUGGUUCAAGUCAACCUAGGCGGCAUCAUCCGAUAAGCUAAUGGGCGAGGAGAACCACACAUACCCAAUUCCAGCUUAUUCUCAUGGCAUCCCGGGCGAGGAGAACCACACAUACCCGUUGAAUCACUGCCAGGCGAGGAGAACCACACAUACCUGCAGUUAGGAUUCGCUUGCCAUCUCUUUUACCACAAUUUCCACCGCUCUAUGUGCGGCCACAUCACUAGGGAUUCUGGAAUCCAUUUCAUAACUCAAGGGUUGGUUUCAAACCCUAUAGUAUUGACCUAUCUAGGUCCAAUGUCCUUUUCACCCUAGGUCCAAUUGACUCUAGGUUCAACGUCUCUAUCACAUAACCUAGGUUUACUUUAACUCUAGGUUCAAUCCAUAACCUAUGUUCACGACACUAGGUUAAUGCCACACACCUAGAUUUAGUUAACUCUAGGUUUAUUCUCAACCUAUGUUCUUUAACACUAGGUUAGAUGCCACUCGACCUAUGUUUAAUAACACUAGGUACAUUGUCAUUCAUGUUCAACCUAUGUUUAAUACACUAGGUUUGAUGCCACUCGAUCUAGUUCAUAUGACUCUAGAUUCAUUCACAACCUAUGUUCUUUAACACUAGGUUAAGUGCCACUCGAUCUAUUUGACAUCCUAAUUGUCCAUGUCGAGUUCCAUAACUAUCCACAUUUUAUCUAGCAUGCAUUAUGUGAUGCCAACAUGCAUAAUCUUUCUCACAUGAUCUACAACAUGUUAAUAUGCAUUUAAUCUAGCAUUUUCUCAUCAUGUCAUCAUACAUGUAUUAACAAGCAUAUUUACAUUAUGUCAUUAACAUGCAUUCUUUACCAUAUGCUCACAUGCAUUACUUAGCAUUUCUAUAAUAUGUUCAUCAUGCAUUCUAUGGUAGUCGUAGCAUAGCAAUUAACAUGCAUUCGCCUAGCAUUUAACUCUUGCAUUCAUCUACCAUUUAUAUGCAUCAAUAUGAAUUUACAUUUCUCUUAGACAUAAAGGGCGACCUAGUCGCUUCGGUAAGNNNN
This 2081-nucleotide long non-coding RNA is filed under the name Ananas comosus (pineapple). Its description in RNAcentral is "long non-coding RNA (ACOM_LNC036359)". The record is from RNAcentral. Lineage: Eukaryota; Viridiplantae; Streptophyta; Magnoliopsida; Poales; Bromeliaceae.